GAUGAACGCUGGCGGCGUGCCUAACACAUGCAAGUCGAGCGAACGGACGAGAAGCAUGCGCCUCUGAGGGUAGCGGCGGACGGGUGAGUAACACGUGGAUAACCUACCUAUAAGACAGGGAUAAUAUCGGGAAACCGGCGCUAAGACCGGAAAAUAUAUUGAACCGCAUGGUUCAAGAGUGAAAGUCGGUAUUGCUGUCGGUUAUAGAUGGACCCGCGCUGCAUUAGCUAGUUGGUAAGGUAACGGAUUAGCAACGCGACGAUGCAUAGCCGACCUCAGAGCGUCGUCAGCCACACUGGAACUGAGACACGGUCCCGACUCCUGCGGGAGGCCACAGUACGGAAUCUUCCGCAAUGGGCCAAAGCCUGACGGAGCACCACCGCGUGAGUCAUGAAGGUCUUCGGCUCGUUAAGCUCUGUUAUUCGUGGAGAACAAAUGUGUUAGUACCUGUGCCCAUCUUGACGGUACCUGGUCAGAAAGCCACGGCUAACUUCGUG
This 497-nucleotide ribosomal RNA is filed under the name uncultured bacterium. Its description in RNAcentral is "partial 16S ribosomal RNA". It matches the Rfam family "Bacterial small subunit ribosomal RNA", at positions 28 to 507 of the family's 1533-position model. The record is from RNAcentral.